GUGGGGAAAGAAUGCUAGUGGGGGGAACAGGAUGUCCCGUUUCAAAUCCCCCACGGCCUUCGCCUCAGCACAGCUAGGAGGACAAUCCCCUUGUGUAAAGGCCUGGGAACGGAGCUUUCUUCCUAUCAGAUCCUGCCCUAUUCUGGUAAUUGAAUGGGAAAGGAGUCCACCCAGAAGUCUGGGCUGGCCCUGGAAAGGAAGGGGCUGUUUCCCACUCACCACCACACUGAUUUUGGAUACAGCAAGGGAGGAGUCAUGAGGAAAUUUAAAACAGCAACAGAGACAUGGGAAUUAUAAGGAAAAGAACACAGAACACUACUAGCACAUGCUGGUGUCUGACCCGCGUAAAUCAUCUAUCAAAUGGGAACAUUUCCAUCUUGUGUACCGUAUGGUGAUAGAAAUUUGUGCUAAGGAUUGCACGCAGGGCUUUGUGCAGGCUAGUGGCCAUCAAAGGAUCAGAAAGAUUUCACAUGAGCCCUGACUCG
This is a long non-coding RNA of Heterocephalus glaber (naked mole-rat), 485 nucleotides long. NCBI's taxonomy places the organism in Eukaryota, Metazoa, Chordata, Mammalia, Rodentia, Bathyergidae. The record is from Ensembl.